AAAAGAUGUAAAAGAGCUGCAAAUACUCCCAUGUAUUUUAGAUUGUGGUUUCAUUUAGUUAUAGUCAGAAAUGCCACAUGUUCUGACCUACAUUUACAAAUGUCAUCACUAAACUUUUUCAAGGCAGAAACAAUUUUGAGGCAACCUGUCCUGCUGUUAUGUUAUAAAUGUAAUUGUUUUACACACAUACUACUAUUUAUGCAGUGACAGUUAUUACAGUCCUCCCUCUUUUUUCGUAAUCAUCACUUCUGUUAAUAUUGAGGUGUUUUGCUACAAUAUUUAUAAACAUGCAGAUUAGAGUAAGAAUUUCAGUGAAAUACAAAAGAAAAAAUGUCUUCAGAAGUCUUUGUUUGUCUGGAUCGGAGUCAGAAUGACGUUAUGUGAGAGGAGGGGCAGCAGGCUGGAUCUGAACUCUACAGGAAAGUAUGUUUCAGCACUUUUUGAAUGAGGCACAACACAGGACAGCCAAUCAGAGCAAAUCAGCUCGUUUGUCUUAUAUCAGGCUGAGAGGCAGAGAACAGCUUGCUCAACUCUAAAUGAUAGAGAUGUUGGGAAAUGGUCGUGUUAAUGUGAAUGAAUAUGGGCCCUUUAAAACAACUUUAAAGUAGCUUUAAAUCUGUUAAACAAGUUGCCCCUGAAUGUCUUCUUGUUCCUAACUGAACUUGUGCUGAGUCUGUGGCCUCACUGUGACUUCUGCUUCUCCAUUUUCUGGCCUCUUUUGAGAAACAGGAAACAGUACCUGGAGACACAGGAAACAGAAGCUGCCGCACAGGAAGAGAGCGCGGUCAAGCAGAGAAAACCCUCAGAUGGAGUAGGAACAAGUGUGCAGGGGCGUAAUGAGCGCCUCCGAGCUGUAGCAUCCCGGCUGUUGGACAUGGUUUUGGAUUUGGAACGUGCUCACGCCUCCUUCCAGCACAGAGAGUCUGAAGAGGCCAGCAGCCUGAUCCUGCCUUCAUAGAGUGCACUACAUUCUGCCCUUAAAGCCCACCCUGCACUCCAGACCUGCUGCACAGCCUGGCAAUCUCUUCACGACCUGAAGAUUUUCUAAUCCUGUGCUCUUCAGACACCCUUCAGUCUUGACAAACCUCUGACACACUUAGUGCCCUAGAUUAGUAGUUCCCUUGCUCCACCCUCACCCUUCACCCACACCAUGCAGGUAAAAUAUGACUAUUCCUUUAGGGCCUCUCGUCCUGUAAAAGAUAAUUAUGCAAUUUAGUAAAUUAAUCAUUUUAUGACGAUUGUCAGGCUUUAUAAUUAGACCAACAUUCACGAAACAUUUGUGACUUGUUUUUGUAUGUAUUUGUAUUUUGAACCGACUUGAACUGAUUUGAACUGAUGCUUUGUGUUGAUUUUAUAGCCAGCAGCCAAACUGUAGCUUUUGAAAAUAUGAGUAUGUCUGUAUGUAUCCAUAUAUGGUUAGCAUGGCGGGAUGCUAAAUGACAUCACCUGCUUAACAACAUGCCACACAUUCACUCAAACACACGUGCACACACACACAGCAGGAGAAUCGUGCCUGUAUCUGCGCUGCCGCUUUGUUUACCCAGUGGAUGACUUUUCA
Pygocentrus nattereri (red-bellied piranha) is the source of this 1558-nucleotide long non-coding RNA. NCBI's taxonomy places the organism in Eukaryota, Metazoa, Chordata, Actinopteri, Characiformes, Serrasalmidae. The record is from Ensembl.